GAAAGUGUGCGCUACACGCCGCCUCGGCCAGCCUCCGGGACGUCCCCACUUGUCCGCGGGAGGUUGACAUAAUCUGGUGUCAAGAAGUGGGACCAAAGUGAGCUCACCUUGAUGGAUCGGUGACCCCUGGAAUCACAUGAAGUUCCCACAUUGAGCCCCUUUGAGCUCUCCAGUCCUACAGCUCACCUUUUCUGUCAUGGUGAAUCUCCUCUCAGGUUCUUGAACUCCCUCAUUUUGGGCUGCCCACCUGUGAAGAAGAUUGAGGUGGAAUAAGAGCAAAACCUCAAGUGGGGCCAUUUUUGCUUCAGAAUGAAAUAGAAAAAGGCCACAGCUGAACUACAUUUUCUAGCAAUCCUCAGAAUAAGAUGUGGUCAUUGACUGAAUUCUGGACAAUGGAAUGGAGUAGAGUGAAAUACAUUACUCCUAGUGACAAGGAGGCACUCAAGCAUGAGUUACAACACAGCCGACCUGGAAUACAGCUGAAAAGAUUGAAGCAACAGGUUCGCAGCGAAAGGCCUUUACAGCUUCUUUCGACUCUGACAUUUCAGGAUCAGCACAAUUCUCCUCUAUUUACUGCUGAAGCAAUCAACUGGGAUUAUACAAAAAAAUUAUUUGUAUUGAA
Molecule: non-coding RNA, 622 nt
Filed under: Pan troglodytes (chimpanzee)
Lineage: Eukaryota; Metazoa; Chordata; Mammalia; Primates; Hominidae
Source: RNAcentral